This 374-nucleotide ribosomal RNA is filed under the name uncultured organism. RNAcentral's name for it is "partial 16S ribosomal RNA". It matches the Rfam family "Bacterial small subunit ribosomal RNA", at positions 527 to 896 of the family's 1533-position model. The record is from RNAcentral.
GUAGGUGGCAAGCGUUGUCCGGAAUUAUUGGGGCGUAAAGCGCGCGCAGGCGGUUCUUUAAGUCUGAUGUGAAAGCCCACGGGCUCAGCCGUGGAGGGUCAUUGGAAACUGGAGAACUUGAGUACAGAAGAGGAAAGCGGAAUUCCACGUGUAGCGGUGAAAUGCGUAGAGAUGUGGAGGAACACCAGUGGCGAAGGCGGCUUUCUGGUCUGUAACUGACGCUGAGGCGCGAAAGCGUGGGGAGCAAACAGGAUUAGAUACCCUGGUAGUCCACGCCGUAAACGAUGAGUGCUAAGUGCUAGGGGGUUUCCGCCCCUUAGUGCUGCAGCUAACGCAUUAAGCACUCCGCCUGGGGAGUACGGCCGCAAAGGCUG